UCUCCUCCACCCCCACCGGCGGCGGCGGCGGCUUUGACUAGGGUUUCCCACCUCGCUCCUCCUGUGAUGCGUUUAGUUUUUUCCCAAGUUUUUUCCCCCCUCCUUCCUUCCUAGUCCGCAGCCUCUAGAUGGCUCGCCUCAGUGGUGCCUCGUCGUCGUCGUCUCCUCCUCCUCCUCCUCGCGUGGAGCGAGCGAGCGGUCGGUCGGUGAGCGUGACGACUGCUUCCUUCUUCUCUUCUCGGAGAGAGAGAGAAGGGGGGAAGGAGAGGAGGAGGGGGUGGGUGUGAGGCGAGGAGGCUGAGGGGUGGGGGCUCUAUUUAUAGCCUCAGUAGAAGAGGCUUCGAGCCCGCCCGCUACGCGCACCCGGUCCGCGCCCCGCCCCGCCUCCGCUCUCACCGCCAGGUGGGCCCUCCUCGUGGUGGGGUCCAGCUGUCGGGGGUGCGCAACGCGUGUGUCCUCGUGCGCGCGGGGGAGGCGUGACGCAUUAGGGGGGGCGUGUCCGCAGCGCGGUGCCGGUGCGGUCGCACCAGGUUGGAAUUUUAUUUGUUUUUUUUCCUUCCUCUGCUCCUCUCUUUUUUUUUUACUAUUUUUUUUCUCACCUCCGCUUCUGAACUGGAGUAGGAGUACUAUUAGGAGAGAAAUAGCAAUUGGAUUUAUUUUAAAUGGAUGGAAGAAGUACGACCACUUUUAACGCGUGUGUCCUCGUGCGCGCGGGUAUUAUUAUUAUUAAAUAAAUAAAUAAAUAAACUAACAGGAGCCAGGAGCGAGGGGGAUCGGACUAAAGAAUCUCACUCCGUUGUUCUUCUUUUCUCUAAUUAAGGUAUCCCAAAUUAAUUCUUGCUUGAAAAAUGGAUGGAUGGAUCUGGUGGCACGGCUAUUUAUUAUGGAUGGCUGAACUAAGGCUGGGGCUAUGGGGGGAUAGGAUAAUGCUGAUCUUGUGGAUUGGAGUUAUCUUCUUUUAGUUUAGGAUGAUUUAAAUGAUGUUAUUGUGAUUCUUGGUUGAGAAGAUAUUUUGAUGGUCCGACCAGUCGAUCGUAAAUAAUGUGUUAUGAAUUCGCGUGAUGUUACCAAAAUGGUUACGCAUGUUAUUCAAAUACUUCUAAGAUUAACAAACAAUUAACAAUAACAGAUAAAGUUUUGAGCAAAUAUUUAAUUGUUUUCACUAAAAGUUAAAAACAUGUGAACCUGUCUUCCAUGGAAAGAUAUGGAACACAGCAAUAGGAGGGGGAAAAUGUGUGAUAAUAUAAUGUUAGGGAAUGUUAUAAAUCUAGGAUCACGUGAUGCCUUUUGGAUUAUGAUGGAUGCUUCUUGGAAUUUUGGCCCAAGAGCAUUAGAGGCGACAAGCAUGCAGCUAAGAAAAUGCAUAUAACAGCUUUUUGCAUACUUAGAAUUUCUAUUUACAAUAUAAUUUUGUGUUGUGCCAUAACAAAAUGUGUACAUAUGUUCAGUUCUAGAUACAAAUAUUUAUUUGUCACGUACACUAAAUUCUCUCACGAAAAAUCUAGCGAGAAUAUAUUGUGUCUCCACAUCAGCGUCACAUAUACCAUUUAACCACAACAAUUUAUACAAUGUUCCUCUGUAACCAUCGUUGCCGCCGCCACACCACCACUGUCUCCUUUUGCUCUAGCCAUCAUCCAUGGUCCUCUAUGUCCCUGUCUUAGAUCAUACGUCUUUUCAUGCCACGACCUUUCUUUUUCUUCUCUUGAUCCAUAACUAGCACCUCCAAUCUAAUUAUGGUGUCAAAGGUUGGCCAUGCUUUUGCCUCAUCUUUCUAUCCCUCAGGAGAUCAAGAUCAAAGUUGUCAUGUUGGAUGUACAGCCAAUCAAUUAUGGUAUCCUUUCUCUCUCAAAAAUGUUUGUCUGGUUUAUGUAAAUAUUAAAACUACUAGGGUCAUAUGCAAAAAGGUGAGUGAAAAUGAGAGGGGUAUCCAUGUAAAAGCUGCAUAGUUGGAGUUCGAUCUCCCCACACCCACCUUUGACCUGACGCAAGUGUGGUGCGAACUCAGAAAAAAAGAGAAAAAAAUAGAGGAAUAGUGGAGUGGACAGUCUCCUCAUCGCCACGCGCACGUAACUGAUGGGUUGGACCAUCACGGUGGGGCCACGUUGUCAGUGUCAUGCUCACGUGUCGAAAGCCUAGGCCGCACGGGAGAAGGGGGGCGUGAUUUGCACCCAAGGAGGCGAGAACUCACCCACUGACAUGUGGGCCCCAGCUUUGUCGUCGGUGUUUAUAUGGGUGGUACUAGCUUUUUUUCCCAUGCAUAAAUCAAAACACACACAAAAGAAGCAUGAGUUAAAAGUGAGCGCCGAUCAGAUUAGGAGUCCAUCUCAGUGACGUGUGUAUUGGCCAUGAAAAGAUAUCGAGUCCACAUGUCAGUGAGGUUACACAUGAGACUGGUGGGUGAGGAAUUGUUUGGAUCUGGAAGGACGGAAAAGGGUGGGGCUCACUGGACCUGAUUUGGAAUUCCCAAGCUCCUUUGGUCUUUGGAAGUGUGUUUCUGGAUGUGUCUACACUUGGCAGCAGGAGUUGGAGAAAGGAGUGCAAACCAUCAUUUCCUUAAUCCUUUACUUUCUUUCAUCAAUUAAAGAAGAGAAGGAACUUAAUACAUAAGACACUUAUCGACAUGAUACUCCAAGGUUAUUGUUUUGCCUUCAGCUUAAAAGUAAAAGCGAAAAUUAAAAUUUUAAAGUUAGUUUUGGGGUUUUUUAUUGUGCUUUAUUUUACAAUAUUUUUUUAAAUAACUAACAACAUGAAUAUAAAAGUUUUACCCAUCAAUUAUUUUUAAGUGUCAGUAAACCGUUUACCCAUCAAAGGAGCACUUAAUGUUUGCAAUGAAAACUGAUCAAACACCACGAAAUUUCGACAUUCCAGCACGGGAUGAAAAGAGGACCCCACGGGAAAUUUCAAAUGGAUGGACAAUUGCAAAGCAAAACAAAACAUGGGAUGAGAUGACAGCUGGGAUAUAUCAUAAUAGAUGUGAUGUGAAUAGCUUGCACAUCUGAAUGAAAUGUUGCAAGCCUUUAUGAUGGAGUGCUGCUACUGUAUAUACAUUUCCUGCAAGCUAGCAUUGCAGCAGGGGAUGGUUGCAUGCUACUGUUUGUUAUGUCUUUUUGGCACUUGUGUUUUCCUUUUCGGUAUGGUUUGGCAGGCUUGUACUCUGAUGGUUUGGUUCUCAAUUGGAUUUAUCAGGAUAUUCUGAACAAGACUGUUACAAACUGAGAAAAGUUGAGCUGUAAAAUCAUGAUAAUGUUUGGCCAAUGCUUUCGAGGUCGCACAAGUCAUGAGGACAUCCGUUUGACCUAAUUAACUAAACAUUCUAUUCUGAAUUUGAACUCAUUGCUACAUUAGAUUUGGGGGUCAUCUUUUCACUUUUUCAAUGAAAACACCAAACAACAUAUUUGCAUAUAUAUAUAUAUAUAUAUAUAUAUAUAUAUAUAUAUAUAUAUAUAUAUAUAUAUAUAUAUAUAUAUAUAUAUAUAUAUAUAUAUAUAUAUAUAUAUAUAUAUAUAUAUAUAUAUAUAUAUAUAUAUAUAUAUAUAUAUAUAUAUAUAAUGCAUAUUCUUAGCGAUCAAAAAACAAAGGUUUAAAAAUAAAUUACACUAGAAAACCCUCCAAAUUUAAGGCUAAAAAUUUAAAAUUUUGUUUAUAAACAUAAGAAGAAGUGAAAAGACAAAUAUGUUAGCAUUUGCACUGGUGAGUAUUUAAUUUUGGUCAGUCCUUGUGUACAAAACAUGAAAACAGAUGCAGGUUGGCUACUGUUCAAUGACCAUUUGAUAUGUUGAUGCUAAAUCAACAGAAAAUAAUACUUAAACUAAAAAGUGAUGAGUAGAGAAAAUCAAAUCCAUCAGGGUGUACUGGCACUUUCGUCCUAUUAGUAGAAAUUGGGCAAAUUUUAGAAGUAACUGUGGACUGUGGUGGGGUUGGCCUUAAGACUGUCAGCUCAUUGUUAUUUGUUAGUGCCCCUGGACCAUUUAUAUGUUCCCACCUCAACUUUGACGAGACGAAUAAACUGAAAGUUCCAAAAACAAGACAGCCAAAAUAUCUUUAAAAUAGAACAUCAGCAAAACAUAUCAUUUUAAAGAAAAUGUAAAUUAGAAUAAAUAAUAAUAAUAAUAAUAAUAAUAAUAAUAAUAAUAAUAAUAAUAAUAAUAAUAAUAAUAAUAAUAAUAGGAGUUGGAAGUAUGAAGGGAAAUCUGAAUAAGUUGAAAUUGAAAAUGCAGAGGAAAAAAUGCUUACCUCCGACGUGCAUGCCCCAGUCCCCACCUCACCUCCCUAGUGCCGAGCAUGCCGCAUCAUAGCCUUGUUCACUUGCCAUAUCAAUGGCUUGUCCACUUUGUUACCAUUGGAAUUUCGGUACUAUCGAAAUUUAGUAAGAUACUCCCUCCAUUUUAUAAUAUAAGAUGUUUGAUUUUUUUUUCAAUGUUUGACAAUUUGUCUUAUUUAAGAAAUUAUAGAAACAUCAUUUAUUUGCUUGUGACUUACUUUAUUAUCAAAAGAACUUUAAGCAUGACUUGUCAUUUUUUAUAUUUAUACUAAAUUUUUUAAUAAGACGAAUGGUCAAACGUUGUCACUAAAAAAGUCAAACAUCUUAUAUUAUGAAACGGAGGUAGUAACAAACUAAAGGUGAGUUUAAGAGUGAGGGAAGAAGAAGAGAUAGAUGAUCACGCAAAAGGGAGUAUUUUGUUAGUGAAUGAUACUAAGCAUUAACUAUUACAAGUUUGAAAAAUGGGUCAAUAUGAUUUUCAAAACAAUUUUUAGACAGUUUUUAUAAUGAAUUUUAAAGGUUGGAAGUGAGCUUAUGAAAAAUGAGGGGAGUUUUUUUUUCUUUUUUCAUUGGAUCCAUUACAAACUAAUUGUCUCUAAACAUAUAAUCACUAACGCAACCUAUCAUCGAAUAGAGAUUACGCUAUAGUAUUUGAUGACGUAUGGUUCAACCGAUGUUAAGUUAUACGCGAGACAGUAGCAACGAGAAGAAAACACAUGGGUUUUAAUACUAAAGAUACUCAAGAUAAUAGCCCUACUUCUGUCGGUUGUAGCCGGUUUCACCAUUAUAUCAAUCUCACAUUAGUACAACAUAUGAGAAAGAAAUCCUAGUCUAGUCAGCAACUAUAUCUGCAUGGUAGCAUGGGUAUGGUUUUCGGCGUCUAGGUGUGGUCGGGCUUAUCCAAUGCCGAAUUGAUGGGAUUUGUAUUGUAUUGGCUUCUAUUUUUUUCCUCAGGGUCUAUUAAGUUGGAUUGAUCUCUAUUUGCUCCCUAGAGUUUGUUAGCUUGUCUUCUCCUCAUGGGACUUUUAAUAUUUUGCCACUCUUCACCACACCCACUUAACCUCUCUCACAACUACAGUGAGAAGGAAGUGACAAAAGAUUUGCCACUCACCAGGUAAAAGUAGCAAAUAGUUAAAUUUCCCCCUCAUAGAAGUCAUGGUUGUCACUAGUCCAAGUAAAACUAGGCAAACAAGCAUGCAAAGUAUCUAAGUAGUCUUGGUGAAAGUCGGAUAAGACUAUGAAGUCUUUAGGAAAAAUGACUAGGUAGGUAGAACUGUAUCCGGAUUAGACUACCUAUGUUUUCUUUUUCGAGUACAAUUUUCUUCCUGUACUAUAUCCUUUCUUAUCUACUCAAGACUCUAUCCAUAUAUAUGGAACCUUUUUACAUAUAGGAUUAUGUAUAUAUUACUUCUUCUAUUGAGGUAAGUACACGUCUAUGAAUACCCUGUAUAUUUGUAAUGAUGAUAGUAACCCCAAACUCUAAUCAAACUGAAUGGCCAACUAGUACAAUAGUUGCGAUGAGUCAACUCUUCGGAGUAAGGCAAUAGAUUCAUCAUCCAAGUAGCUUAUAUCAACAUCGUUGAUUUAAGCAAAUUGCUAUUGUAUUCUGUUUUGAUAUCGGGAAAAAGUUUAUAAUAAUAUAUCAACAUAGUACCCCCCAAUCUAUUGUGUGUUUCUUAUAAAAUACUUGAAUAAACUUGUUAGCAAACGCCAAAGCCCCUGAGUGUAGUUGGGUAUCUGUCACGCCCAGAAAUUCCUCACACGAAUUUCUGAACUUAAUUGUGUAUUAAAUCCCUGUCCAGGACCAGCCAGGGUACACAAAAAGACAAUGUUGAUUACAUAACCAUCGUCCUUAGAAACAACUGAAAAUUACACUUAUUCUAGCGGAAAUGCAGCGGAAAGAAAAACAAAGAGGUAGACUAGCUCCAGCGGGUACGGCUCCAGUCCACAGGCAACACUUCGACGGCGGAACAGCUCACUCCUGAGAGGCACCUCCAUCGGACUCGACUUCUAGCUCUGGGUUGGGAAAGUUAAGCAAGGCUGAGUACAAACCACCGUACUCAACAAGUAACACGGACAAGGGGGAAAAAGUAAAUGAUGCAUAGGGAUUAACAAGGACAGGCUAGGGUUAGUUGCGAUAAAGCAGCAAUUUAAAUAAAUAACAGAGCUUAAAGAAUAAAGGUAAUUAAAUACAGUGAAGCAUAAAUAGGUAAACAGUUGUAAAACACCACAACACUGUCCAACGUUACACCACGUUGCGACAGGCCCAACCACUACUCAACGUUACACCACGUUGCAGUAGUCCCAAGUGAUACCAGAUUUUACUCAAGUUAUUAGGGUUCACUAAUCACAGUGAAGCUGGGAGUUCGCCCGUAACCGUGGGCACGGCUAUUCGAAUAGUUUAUACUCUGAUCAGAGGUGUACUACUGUACCCACAAGACACGACUCCACUACACUUGAACGUGCGCCGACAUACCACCACGGCAUACCGGAAAGGAGACCGUGAUAGGACCCGUUACACAACCCUCCCUAUUUAAUCGUACCACACUUCAGGUUUCACCCCCUCCUUUACACCAAGUCGGGCAGUCCCCUCUUGUGCCUUGGUAGAUCCGGAAGCAGGAGAAGCUUUCGUUACACCACGAUUGCCCGUCCAUACUCCAUCACGCCUACCCUUGCCACGGUACGUCAAAUAGUUCGAAGUCAUGCUUCAAAUCCCACCUUACCCAUUUCGGCAUGUGGUUAGCACUUAUUUACUUCCAGGGUUUCCCGUGAACCGGUCCUUAAUCGCCAUGGGUGCGACUCUCAAAACCAUGCACCCACAGCCCACCAUUAUCAAUAUUUUAGUUGACAUUAACCCGAACCGGGUAGUGAAUCAUUAUCUCGGCUAUCCAGAAUUAAGCAUAAUUAUAUGUGAUCCCAUGAGCUAUUUGUUCUAAGCAUGGCUAAGCAUUAACCUAGGCCUGACUCUAAUCAAGUUACCCCUGGUCCAGCAAUGAACAAAGUUGGAUAAACAACGGCAUAAUAAUAAGGUUUACCCGAAAAUAGCAUAAAGUAAGUACUUUAAUUAAAACAAUGCAUAUUUGAAAUAAUAAAGCGGGGAAUUUGCAAUAAUGGGUUCAAUAUGUUCAAGGAUGAGUGUCACUUGCCUUGCUCUGGCCCUUGGGGAACUUCGGCGACGAUCUCGAAGUAAACCGGCUCUUCGGCGGGGUCCGAAUCUAAGCGACAAAGCACAAAAAUAAAUAAAACAGGCACAAACUCUACUGAAACAGCAAAAGAAACUAUUUUUAAUGGAUUCUUGAUAAUUUUAUGAAUUUAAUGAAAUUUGAAUGGACCUAAACGGAGACUAGAUGAAUUACUUAUGAAUUUUAGAAGUUUUCUGGGUUUUUUAGCUAAACAGAAAAGUCCUAAAUCAAUUAUUGCGCAAUUAAUGGGGCUGCUGACGUCAGCGAGGAGAGAGGAACUGACGGCUGACAGGUGGGGACCACCUGUCGGUGAGAGAGAGAGGGA
This 7768-nucleotide long non-coding RNA is filed under the name Oryza brachyantha (malo sina). Its description in RNAcentral is "long non-coding RNA (OBRA_LNC002553)". Lineage: Eukaryota; Viridiplantae; Streptophyta; Magnoliopsida; Poales; Poaceae. The record is from RNAcentral.